GAGAGGAGUAGUUCUAUAAAAUUUGAGAGGCUAAGUCCAAGAGUCUGUGGUCACAGCAGUGUGAUAGAUAGAAAAAAUUUUUAUGAGGAUCACAAUUGGAUUUGAGCUAAUCGAAUCUAUCAUAUGACUGAUGAUAAGAUUUGAUAAUUUAUCCAUGACCUGCUAUCUAGUCGGGACUCACGAUAGAGGGAAUGAAUCAUAUAUGAACUAUAC
This 213-nucleotide long non-coding RNA is filed under the name Elaeis guineensis (African oil palm). RNAcentral's name for it is "long non-coding RNA (EGUI_LNC017069)". Lineage: Eukaryota; Viridiplantae; Streptophyta; Magnoliopsida; Arecales; Arecaceae. The record is from RNAcentral.